Non-coding RNA from Pseudonaja textilis, 1174 nucleotides. The record is from RefSeq and is a predicted model, not a curated record. Lineage: Eukaryota; Metazoa; Chordata; Lepidosauria; Squamata; Elapidae.
AAUCUAACCUUAAAAAUGGAUUAAGACUAUGAGGAACCUAAAAAAUGCUCAGAGUUGCAAUAUUAUCUAUGAAAAAGGAUCCCUGCAGAUUUUACUCUGCUAGCUGUUGCUGACCAAGGGCACUGUUUGAGCAUAUAGUAAGGCACAAUGACAUGAAAAUGACAACAUGUACACUGCAAAUGAUGCAGUAAAGAACUUGUGUCAUGCUGUUUAACUAAUUCAACCAUUUGACUAGAGAUAUCCUUGAUUUACAAUACAUGAAUUGACCUAUUCAUUAAUACUUAGCCCACUCUAUAUAUUAACUGUAACCAAAGUGGAGAAUACUGAAACAUGUUCUUAGGAUACUUUCCAAUAAAAGAAUUAUCAUUUCAACUUCCUAUGCAAAUGUUCUCACUUUGAUGGCAUUGUAAACUGCUAUGUAAGCUUCUGUUUGAAUGAUUAUUGAUCGCAGAAUUAUUAUAGUUAAUAAAGCACAUCUUGGUGGCUUCGUAUUGCCUUGGCACAGAAGUAUACCUAUACCUAUGAAUUUUAAUUUCCAGGAACACAAGCUCAUAAUAAAUUAGUAGUUUGUCCAAAAAUGUACUACUUGCUGGGAAAUAGCAAAACAAUUAAUUUCUACAGCAGAAAUUCUUCUCUAUGCAGUGCCAAUUCACAUUAUUUACAAAGCCUUAAUCAACUUUCUGUAUUUAAGUACCAGUAUAAGUAGUACCGGUCAGUAAUAUAAAACUAAAUUCUACAUAUAGUUCUAAGUAUUAAUGAAUACAGAUACUGGAUCUUUCUUGCUCAUAUGAAUAAGCUUCUGCAUACAUAAAUUUAAUUACUUUAAACUUUUGGUAAAGAAACGUAAUUAAAAUCUGUAGUAUACACUGUAAUUUUGCUGUUUUUGUACAUUUUACAUUUUUUCUACAUUUUCUAUGAAACACUUAUGAACACACAUGAAAGUAGGAGAGAGGAAAGUCAAUUAAGUAGAGUAAAAAGGGUAUAAAAUUAAUCUUGCCUAUGGGGAGAUUGCACUAGAUAUCAGAUGACCUGUAAAAGGAAGAAUAUCUGUUGUUGUAACUGGAGAAUAUAUGGAAUUUUAAAAAUCCAAGUUUUACAAAAAUACUAAAUUUAAUCCCAAUUCAUUUAUAGUUCACAUUUACUUUAAGAAGUACUAGAAAAAUGCUAUGUAUUU